GCACUGCCGAAAAGUCCCAUAAUAGAACGAAACGGCCGUCCAGUGC
Non-coding RNA from Schistosoma rodhaini, 46 nucleotides. The record is from Rfam. NCBI's taxonomy places the organism in Eukaryota, Metazoa, Platyhelminthes, Trematoda, Strigeidida, Schistosomatidae.